GGGGUCCCAAGCCAAGAUCACCUCCAUCACCCACUAGUAGCUGGCCCGGACAUCCUGGUCAUCCUCCAUCCAACCAUGGCUGAAAUAUUACCACAAAUAGUAAGGGCUUCAAGUUUUCUUGGAUUCUCAUUUUGGUUAUCAACUUUUACUGUAUUAGGUUUUAUGUUAUAAAUAACACUGUGUAAGACCACGAAAGGAUUUACCCGUCCAUGUUAUGGAAUAUUAUAGAUUAUAAGGAAAUUAAAACCUUUUUAUUAUUCAUCUUAAUUUUUACUGGGAUUUUAGCAAACAAUUACUAAAAGUAUGGUUAGGAAUUGUAUAAUUAUUCACAAUAGUUUUGUGCAUUCCUUCUUUCAAUAAUUGAAACAAUUACUAAAUAUGAGUAUGUAUUUACUAUUUACGUUAAUAAAAAAUUAAAAAUAUAUUAGAAGAUUUCAAAAUAAUUAGUUAUAUUAAAUUUUAUAAUAUUUUAAUUACAGAUAAAGGAUUAAUUUUAAAGCUAUUGUUUAGAGAUAUUGGAUUAUUUUGAUCCAAAACAAAUUUAGAAAAUGUUUUCAAUUUGAAAAUCAAGAAUCAAAUAAUAAAUUAUGAAAUCAAUUUAGCAUUACGAAGAAAAAUAUCAUUACAUUAAAAAACAUUACAGAUAUAUACAUAAGUAGGAUUGCAUAAGAAUUUAAUGAAUUACAUCAAUUCCAACAUUAAGGAGUGUGAGGAAUAAUGUAUGUGGAUUGUAAUCAGUGGUACAUAUGAACUCAUAGGAAUAAUAUAUUUUUUAGAAAAGAAAAGUUGGAUGCUGAAAAGAUAUUUACAUUAGAAACCCUUAAGACAUGGGAUUGAAUUACCAAUAAGAACUCAAAAGCUAAAUUCUCUUAUUCGGAUUAAUUUUUUGCACAUCGAUAUGAAUUUAAAGUAUAUAUCUAGCUAGCUAUCUAAAGGGGGAAAAUAGAGUGGUGUAACUUUGUUUGGAUUAUAUCAACAAUAAGAGAGCAAUGAGAUAAAUCUAAGUAAAAGUUUUAUAUGGGUGCUAUCUAGUUAGCUUUUUCAUAACAGCAUGUGACUCUUUUUGGUCAAAUAGAUGAAUCUAUGAUCCAAGACAAAAUCAUGGUUCAAAAGAUUUCUUUUUAACCUUUUUCAAACAUUUGAUUUAAACUAUCUUUUGUAGAUAUGAUUUGACGAAUAACAAUUAAGAUGCUCACACUCUUAUUUGGAUCAUACUAAAAUAUUCUUUUAAAUCAAAUUUGACAUUCCUAAAGAAGAUAUUAUUUCUCUAAUUUCAUAAAUUCCACGUGAAAGCAAUCCACGUCUCCUCCAUAGCAUAUUCCCUUUAUGUUAUUUACUCGGUCAUUCGUGUUGUUCUAUGAGGGUUUCCAAGACUACCAAUCAAUUUUUAGUAUGAAAUUUGGUCUUAGGUACAAAGUAUAAGGAUGGCUAGAAGUCCUUUUUUGUGCUAUUGCCUAAAUACCUUAUUGCUUUUUAUAGCUUUAGGGACAAGUGGUGGCAUGUCUUCCAUUAUUUAUAAUUAAUAUUAUGUUGCAUAAUAUAUAUAGUGAAGAAGACCUACCACUUCCUCAUUCAUAUCAUGUAUUGGAAGUUUCACAGAAAGCUCAACAUGUUAAAUAUGAUGAAAACUAUAUACAUAAUUAAUCCUUUGUUUUAAAUACACAUAUAGAAUUUUCUAUUUAUAAUAGAAAAAAUAUGAGUUAAAUUCAAAAUACAAAUAAAAAUUAAUAACAAAUAAUUAAACACAAAAGAUAAAGAUAAAAAAUAAAUAUAAAAUAAAUAUAAUAUAUCUAACACAACUUAUUAUAAAGUGGCUGAUUACGAACAAGCAUCACAGAAAUCUGGUUUCAGCCUUCAAAAUACUCUGGUAUGGCUUGGAUCAGAGUUUCUUCUAAGUUUGUAUCUUUCCUUGUUCUGUUAGCAAUGGCAUUUUCUUUCUUUGCACAGCUUACUUCAGUUAGUGCAGGUUUGUGUAGCUACUACCUCUUUAAAAUAUGCAAACACAUAUGAACAACAUGUGUUUAGAAUUGUAAGAUCAUUAUCACUGUCAUUAGUGUUUGGUAGAUGAUGAUGAUGAAUUAAUUAGUGCAUGAAAGUGUUUAGCACGUAAAGUAAAAGUACAUGUUGUUGCAGGUAGAAGCAUAUUAGGUAUCUUGAAAAGUUUAUAAUUAACGUGAUAGCUGUGAUCUUGAUUUGCAGAUCCGAAAGUGAGAAAAUUGGGUGUGAUGCCAAGUCCACCUCCUUCACCUGCGCGUAAUCCAUCAUGGCGUACUCUACCUCCUCGUCUUCCUCCUCCAUCCAUUUAAAUUUUCAUUUUCUGCUUAUAUCUUGUCAUUGUUAGUGAAACCAAACUGAGUAUUUGGUCAGUCUUCUUGUGUUUCGUCUGUGUUUUGUAAUAAGCCAGGUUUCAGGCACCUUUUGUUAGUUUUGUAUUGUUUUCUGCAUAAUGUACGUUGUUCAGCAUAGUAUUUUACUGUUUGGUCUGUGUGUUGCACCCCUUUAAUAUAUAAUUAUCUUCUUUGUUGGGAAAAAUAUAUUAGGUUUUCUCUAUAAAUUACACCACCAACAUAUUUAUUUGGGAGACUGCUUGGAGAACAAAUAUGUAUCAAAAUAUAAUAUGAAAUUCUCAGAAAUAGAACGACGAGAAGCGGGAGACAACAUCAUUCAAAAGAUGUACAAAAUGGACGAAAGACCGAGUAAAACCCAUCUUCGUUUUUGGAGUCAUUAAAUCCAACUUUUGCCCAUAACAUUAUGAUAAUCUGCAUAUUAAUUGGUGUUACAAUCUUUUUAAAUGCUUAGUUAAAGGAAAAUCAUUAAAUAAUAAUUCAUUUUAAAGACUAAAAGUAAAUAAUGUUGUUAUCAUUAGUAGUUGUCGUUAUCAUUUAUUUAGUAUACUGGGAUUUAACACAAAUUUCACAUGCAGACUUGUUAAUCUUCAUAACAGCAUUAAUGGGGUAGCAUCAAACACUUAGAAAAGUUAAGUCAGAGAAUAAUAUUUUAGCUAAGUGGGUCGUCCACCAGCACCCUUUUUUAUUUAACUUUAUUAACAACCAAUCAUUAUAUUUAUCUGUGCCUUUCCUUUCCAAUAAUUUUGGAUGAUGACAGUCAUCCAUUCCUAUUAUCGAGAGAGAGUGUAGGGCAUUUCAUUAAUUUAAAUGGAAAUCAGUAUAAUUCUUAAACAACCUUUAAUAUCAGUAACCAAUUAUCACCUUCACUCAAAUGCCAUUAAAAUUAGACUCGUUCUUUUCAUCACUCCAAGAGUAUCAUUCUUAAACAUGACACUCAUUAUGCUGGAGCUAUUUAAGUUUAAAAUUAUGAUGUACAAAAUUUAUUUUAGGUUUGUUUAUGGAAGCCUUUGCAUAGGAUAAAUAUCCUAAUGUAGAGUUAUGUAUUAACUAUUAUCUAAUUUUUCGUAAAUUGAUAUAAAUAUAUAUAACUAUGAGUUCAUGAUAGGUGUCAUAAAGAAAAGUUGUUUUACAUUGAGAGUUAAAGUGUUUAUAAUCAAAAUUUGUAAAAAAGAUUGUUAUUAUCAUAAUGACCAGGAAGUUUGAUGUGCAUGUAUUAAGUGCGAUUCUACAGCAAUUUUGGAGGUAAGAGUUAUGAAGGUUCAUCUCUACAAACAUGAUUUCAAGUCUAAUUAUUUGAUUUGGACGGAUCAUGGUUAAUUUAGGCUAAAAGGGGAUUUAGAUAAUAGUUUAACUUGGAUGGGUGUGAAAAAGGAUGAUGAACAAAAUGACCAAUUUAUGUCAAUGUAAGACAUGGUGCAUGAUGUUCUUACACAAAUGAGGUGUGCCAAAUAUCGAACUAAGAUAACAUGAAAGAACUCUAAAUGAAAAAAACUCAGAUUUUAUAAUAUUUAGUUGGAUGCAAAUAAGUCUAUGUAUAAAGGGAUAUCAAACUCCAAAUUAUCAGUGUCAGAUCAUUAGCUUGUAAGUCCAAUUGAAAUAUUUCUAAGCGAUACUUAAAUUUUAUUGCAAAAAAUUUAUGGAUAAAUUUAUAUGUAAUUACUAUGAAUAAAUCCAUAUAUAAUUAUUUACGAAUUUAUUUGUAAGUAACUAUUGCUAUGACAUUUUACUUACUUGUAAAAAAUUUGUAAAUAAGAUUUUAUUUAUGGAUUUUAUGACUUAUCUAUAAAUUUUGUUUUUGGAGGUAAUGUUCUUUUUUUUUUUUUUUUGCUUAUAGUGAUAGCUUAAUAACAUUACCUGGAACUUUCCUUUUAGAAUAGCUUUUAUGGAUUGGCCAUAAGAAAAAAAAAGUACAAGAUAUUAAUUUUAUUAGAUUCUUUAAAAAAGUUGAUAAAUAAUUCAUAAUAUAAUAUGAUGAUGCAAACGUUAAAAACAAAAGCAAGUUAUUUUUCUGUUUAUUUUUGUUACCAAAACGCGUUACCUUUAUUAUCUUUAUUGACCUAAUUUCUAUAAGAAAUUUCACUGAAAGCUCAAAAAGAUGGCAAAUUUAGGGUUGGUGACUGUGAAGCAGAAGUUGUAUAUUAAUUGGGUUUUGGUUUGAGAAUUAAACACACAAAAACUGAGAUGGCUAGAACCACUCUUUCUUCCCUGUCUUUAUUUUUCUGUAUUCUCCUCAUAAUUACCUUCAGUUUCUUCGUGCAACCAAUUCCAGUAAGAACAGGUUUGUCUCUGUUACUGAAUCAUCCAAAACGUAAAUUAAAGAGGAGAUUUAUAAAUAGAUUUUGUAAGAUUAAAUUAGUUUUUAAAUUUAUUUGGAAUCAUUUUGUAAAAGUAAGAUUUCUGAAAACUGUUAUGAUAUGAAUUUGCAGAACUGAAAAUAAGGGGUCCCAAGCCAAGACCACCUCCUUCACCCACGCCUAACUGGCGCCCAGUUCCUGGUCAUCCUCCAUCCAACCAUGGCUGAAAUAUUACCACAAAUCGUAAGGGCUUCAAGUUUUCUUCGAUUCUCAUUUUUGUUAUCAACUUUUACUGUAUUAGGUUUUAUGUUAUAAAUAACACUGUGUAAGACCACGAAAGGAUUUACCCGUCCAUGUUAUAGAAUAUUAUAG
RNAcentral lists this long non-coding RNA (5014 nucleotides) under Vigna radiata. Its description in RNAcentral is "long non-coding RNA (VRAD_LNC000214)". The record is from RNAcentral. Lineage: Eukaryota; Viridiplantae; Streptophyta; Magnoliopsida; Fabales; Fabaceae.